GAUUAAUAACUUGGAAGAAGGAAAAAAACUCCAUUCUAGCCUCUUUAACUCUGUUAGUAAGGCGUAGAAUCACCCUGACACUUGUAACAGAAACUUGAGUGUUUCCUUUCCAAUG
This is a long non-coding RNA of Etheostoma cragini (Arkansas darter), 115 nucleotides long. RefSeq lists it as uncharacterized. Lineage: Eukaryota; Metazoa; Chordata; Actinopteri; Perciformes; Percidae. The record is from RefSeq and is a predicted model, not a curated record. The transcript is spliced from 3 exons.